This 253-nucleotide ribosomal RNA is filed under the name uncultured bacterium. Its description in RNAcentral is "partial 16S ribosomal RNA". It matches the Rfam family "Bacterial small subunit ribosomal RNA", at positions 524 to 776 of the family's 1533-position model. The record is from RNAcentral.
UACGGAGGGUGCUAGCGUUGUUCGGAAUUACUGGGCGUAAAGGGCGCGUAGGCGGCCGUUUGCGUCGGAUGUGAAAGCCCCGGGCUCAACCUGGGAACUGCAUUGGAAACUAACGGGCUCGAGUGUGGCAGAGGGGGGUGGAAUUCCACGUGUAGCAGUGAAAUGCGUAGAGAUGUGGAGGAACACCGAUGGCGAAGGCAGCCCCCUGGGCUAACACUGACGCUCAGGCACGAAAGCGUGGGGAGCAAACAGG